AUUACUUCUUCCGUCCCAUUGCAUUUGGUGAAUUUUUCAUUUUAUCCGUUCUACUUAAUUUACAUCAUUUUCAUCUUUUGGUGAUGGCCCAUCACUUUUUUUUAAUUUCAUCAAUACAUUUUAACUCUCUUUUAAUAUCAUCUACAAAAUUCAUUCUUUCUUUAUUUAUUACCUAUACUUGAAAACUAUUCUCUUUAUCAUUUAAUGUAAAUCAAAGAGGAACGUGUAAGUCUCCCCCAUUUACAUUCUCAUUUACCAAACACCGGCGGUUUUAUAACUGAAAUCAUCUGGUAAUGUCAGAUUGGUAGUAUAAAAAACCAGAGAAAACUACAUCAUGGAGGUUGAAGAAGCAAUGAAGAAAGAACACAUGCUCCAGGAGUAGGCCAAGAGCUCUAGAGUUUCCUUGUCAACCAUCUACUCUGAGGGAGAUUGUACUCCUCAAAAAUUAGUAUUUUUAGGAGAAAAUUCUCUUAAAAUAUAAGGUUUACGCAAUGGCUCAUGAUGGUAGUAAUUUAGAAGAUCCGAAUCCUCAAGCUAAACAAUUUUUCGACAUGCUAAGUGCUGCAAAUAAUCCGUUGUAUUUUGGGUGCGAAACUUACUCUCAAAUGUCGAUUAUCGAGAGAAUGAUGAAUUUAAUGGCAGAUCAUAAUUGUUCAGAGAGGUUGUAUGACGAGUUGUGCUAUGUGAUGCAUGAGACUUUACCCCAACCUAACUUGAUGACAUAUAGUUUUAAUGACACAAAGAAGCUAAUAGCGGGGCUUGGAUUGCAAUUAGAGAGUAUUGAUUGUUGCAUUAAUGGGUGUAUGAUCUACUGGGGUCGUACGGCGGAUACUAGAGGAUGCGAAACAUGUUUGAAAACAAGGUGGGUUAAAGACGAUUUGGGAAAUAAACGCAUUGCAAGGAAACAAUUUAUAUAUCUUCCCAUAAGUACACUAUUAUAACGAUUGUAUGCCUUUUAAGUUACUGCUUGUGAAAUGAGAUGGCACGCUGAGCACCACAGAGAAGAGGGGGAAAUAUGUCACCCAUCAGACUUGGAGGCUUGGUUAAACUUUAACGCAGCACAUCCAGUGUUUGCAGCUGAGACGAGAAAUGUGAGGCUCGGUUUGUAUACAGGCGGAUUCAACCCAUUUGGAAACUCGAGAAGGCAGUAUUCAUCAUGGCCAGUGAUUCUGACACCUUACAACCUUCCUUCGUGGAUGUGCAUGAAGACACCAUACAUGUUCUUGACAGUGAUUGUGCCAGGGCCUAACAAUCCAAAGUAGAACAUCGAUAUUUACUUGCAACCUUUGAUCGAAGAACUUAAGAUGUUGUGGAAAAACGGUAUCGUGACCUAUGAUGUGUCCACACGAAAAAACUUUUGUCUUAGAGCGACCUUGGUGUGUACGAUCAAUGACUUUUCGGCAUAUUCGAUGUUAUUAGGAUGGAGUACUCACGGUAAAAAUGCUUGUCCUUAUUUGCAUGUCUGAUUCAAAGGCUUUUUAUUUGAGAAAUAGUAGGAAAAUGUGUUGCUUUGACUGUCAUUGAAUGUUUUUGUCUGACUAUCAUCCGUUCAGAAGAAGGAACAAGGCUAAUUUUAUGGCAAGGGUUCAGGAGGAGGAUCAUGCCCCUUAUACUCGCACCGGUGUUGAGUUACUUGAGGAGCUUAACAUGCAUGGGAUGAAGAAAGUGUGAGAAUGGUGCACGGGAAUAUAGUGAGUAUUAUGGUCCGUUGACUGAAGGGUGGGAAAAAAGGAGUGUAUUUUGGGAUCUAAUAUUGGAAAACAAAUAUGAUCAGACACUAUCUUGUUGUGAUGCACAUAGAAAAAUAAAUUUUCGAUAAUAUUUUCAAUACAGUUUUGCGUGUGGAAAAGAAAACGAACGAUCAUCUUAAUGCACGUAGAGACUUGCAAGACCUUGGCAUUAGAAGUAUAUUGCAUCCAAUAGGGAAAUCCUAAUGGCAUCAUACACCCUAGAUGAUGGACAAAUGUAUGUUCAACUUGAUUGGCUUAAGACUUUGAGGUUUUCAGAUGGUUAUGUAACCUGCUUAGCAAGGAACAUUGACAUGACUAAAUAUUCUAUAUUUGUGUUGAAAA
Long non-coding RNA from Amaranthus tricolor (Joseph's coat), 2072 nucleotides. RefSeq lists it as uncharacterized. The record is from RefSeq and is a predicted model, not a curated record. Lineage: Eukaryota; Viridiplantae; Streptophyta; Magnoliopsida; Caryophyllales; Amaranthaceae. The transcript has 3 exons.